Alicycliphilus denitrificans K601 is the source of this 117-nucleotide regulatory RNA element. It matches the Rfam family "ALIL pseudoknot". Lineage: Bacteria; Pseudomonadati; Pseudomonadota; Betaproteobacteria; Burkholderiales; Comamonadaceae. The record is from Rfam.
CGCGUUUUUCGCGCAGGCGGAGCUCGACCGCCGAUUGAAGUCUUGAAGAACUACAUCGACCGCCACCGUGAUGACUACGGGGUCGAGCCCAUCUGCCGGGUGCUGCAGAUGGCCCCG